Myodes glareolus (Bank vole) is the source of this 5773-nucleotide long non-coding RNA. RefSeq lists it as uncharacterized. Lineage: Eukaryota; Metazoa; Chordata; Mammalia; Rodentia; Cricetidae. The record is from RefSeq and is a predicted model, not a curated record.
UGCCGCCCGCUCGCGAGCAAAGUUUUAACCCCGGGAAAGAAGAAAGUUAAAGCCAACCGGCCUGGGAUGCUCCAGAGGGCGAGAGCGAGCGGGUGGGAACCUGGGAGCCCGAGAAAGAACAGCAGAGACAAAGAGAAAGCGAGAGGAGCGCCCGGGGAAACCCCGGAGAGGGGGCAGGGCCCGCGCGCACCCUGUGGGGGUGGGGUGGGGGCGAGGACGGCUUUCUCCCUCCAAGUCCCAGCCAAACACAUCUGUGUUUGUUUUCUUUUCUGCGCCGAGGUCCGGCCUUCCUCUAACCCAGCCUGGUGGCCCGGGUGGCACCGCGCACAGGGCCGUGCCCCUAUGGCCACUCAACCCCAGAGGUGUACGGAAGGGGAACAGGAAGGGGACGUGAACUCUACCUGCUCUUUACUCCUGCCCCGAGGCCCUAGGGCCUGAAAGCUGUGGUGGACUCGAGGCUAAAGGCCAAGAAGCUACGACGCACCUGAAGGGUGGCCUACUCAGGCAAAUUGGUCCCAAUUUUUUCUCUUCUGGUGAUGUUUACGGAGCUUGGGUUUGUGACCAGCCUGCAGCCUCUCCCACUGAAUGUACUUUACAGUUGCCUGUGCCCCUUCCUGAAGCAUGCUGCCUUCUGAGGAGACAAAUGAACAAAACAGAUGUCCAAGUGUUUCUUCUCAAAGUGGGGGUUAUAAAUACACCCCAUGAAGGCAUGUCGGUCUCUGAACAGCAGGAUCCAGGGUACAAAUGAGUUCAAAACAACAGUAGAGCUCUUGGCAUCAAGCAGUUCAAAUCAAUGACAUUGAAAGCAACUGCUUGGUUACCCCUGCUUUGGACAGUGCUGCUAAGGUGCGAUUUCCAUCCUCUCUGAAACGUCUUCUGGACAGAGCUAAUGAGAGAAUUCGGGAAGACCGAAGAAUUAUGGUGAAAGGUUACUGAGGAGGCUGUGACCUCAAACUGGAUGCCAGAGAUCAGGUGGAGGGAGAUCGUUAACCCAUCGCUGGUAAGAAGAACAGAUGUUGGAGUUAAAAUAGCUUUAUGGAGGACUGGAGAGAAGUCGGUGGUUAAAAGCACUUGAUAUUCGUCCAAAGAACCCAGAUUCCAUUUCCAGCACCCACAUGAUAGCAGAGCCAACUCCCUCUCCUGAACUCCAUGAGCACCAGACACACAACAGGGUACGUCAAUAGACAUGCAAGCAAAACCCUCAUAAACAUAGAAGAAAACCAGUAAAUGCUAACUUUUUAAAAAGUCUGAUGCCAGAGUUCAGAGCUCUUAGCACCUGCGAACAGGGCAGCAUGGCAAGGCUCAGUCCUUGGAGAAAAGGGAGGAGCUUGAAGUCUGCCAGCAUGUAAACUGUGGCCUGGAUCCGCUGCACUUCUGAGCACCUCUCCACUACAGUUAAGACCUCCAGGACUUGGUUCCGAGGACCCCAUCGUGGAAUAAAAACUUUAACCAGAGGUGACAUACAGGCAGCACCCUCAGGCCUUCCGGCUCCUCACCUCCUCACAAUGCUGAGUUCUGAGCUUUGGAAGUGGUGUUGGUUAUAUUUCGGUAUGGUAAAUCUCCUGGCUAGAGUCCAGUUGGAAGCAUCUUUCAUGAUCCAGAACCCAGUCCCAAGGGAAUGAAUUUGGUAUUAGAAAGAACCUCCUAAGGCAGUGGUUCUCAACCUGUGGGUCACCACCCCUUUGGGGAGUCACUGCAACGGGAGGGGCUGAAAGGGUAGCGGCAUUAGGAACGGGGAGAACCAUUGCUGUGAGGGAACUCUGGUCAACAGGGACCUUGAGAGUUCUUCAUUCAGAGGUGUUUAUAACCUGAGGUCAGAAAUCUUCCAUUCUUCCACGGGGCCGGAAACUCCCAGAUGAGGCUGGUGGCGGACUAGUAACUGCUGGAUUGGUGAUGCUCCGAGUGAAGUGAAGAAUCUAUCCCAGCCAGCCUGAGGGUGCAGGUCAGAAUUCCCAAAGGCGUUGCUGUGUAAAGGUCCAGGGCAGGCCUUAGUGCCUCAUCUCGUGCCCCCGUCCCCACCCUCUCAGACUGCAGAGAAGGAAACGAAGGCAAUGGAGACUAAAACCGCCUCACCAGGGAUGUUUCAAGAGAUGGCUGUGAGUCACUGAAUGGCGUGUGGGUCGCCCAUCCAACCCCACCCAGAGAACACCUGCUCCAUUCUACUCUGCUGAUUUAGGUGGGGGAGGGUCAUGGUUUUGAUGGGGGGGGGGAAAUAGUUCUUUUAAACUGGAAAAUGAUGACAUUAGAAAGUUUCUAUGCUUAAAGGUGUGAGCUUCUGUUGACCACAAAAUUCAAUUAUAUGGAACAGCUUACUUUCCCCCAAACGUCAGUAAAAAUGAGCUGUUACUGGUUUAUAUGUCACAUGGAGCAAAGCUAGAGACCUGACUCCAAGAGGCAGCAUGGGAGAACAGACACGGAUCACUGAUUCCAAACAGAUUGGGUAAGCGCAUGGACAUUUCAACCGGAACAAGGUGUCAAGGGAAACUAGGAAUUUGGAGGCUCAGAAGCUGACAUCAGUUAGGAGGGCCACCAUGCCAGCCUCAGAACGAUGCCAGAGACUACAUACAGCUGAUGUAUACAGCUCAGCCUCGGGGGGCACUGCCACGCCUGAGGCCGAGCACCUGGCUUAUGGGGUCUCACGGGGAGCUGCUUGGGUGGCCAGCAGACCCACGAUUGCGCACCUGCAUUAACAUCCUGUGAUUCUGGGCAAAGCACUUCACCUCCCUGGGCACAGAUUUCCUCAUGUGAAAAAAUGUGGAUAGAAACCCUCUCUUCCUCCCUCCCCCUCUUCUUCCCUUCAUUCUGUGGUUAUCAAGAGGCUGGGGGUAAAGCUAGGUGAUAAAGUUCAGGCCUAGAAUGAUGAUUAAUCCCAACUGUCAAGUUGUGAGGACUAGAAUCACCCAGGAGAAGGGAUUCUGGCCAUGGUAUGUCAACGGAGGUGGGAAGACCCGCCCACUGUGAGUGGCAUCAUUCCCUAGGCUAAGACUCUGGCCUGUAUUUUAAAAAGUGAGCUGACCACAGACAUUUGUCUCCCUCUGCUUCUUGACUGUGGAUGCCAUGUGAGGAGCCUCCUCCAGCUCCUGCUGCUGGGACAUCCCCAAACUAGGAUGAACUCUGAGUCAAAAUAAACACCUUUUCCCUCAAAUUAUUUCUGUCAGGGUACUUUGUCACAGCCUCGGAGAAGUCGCCGAGAUCCCCCAGCAAGCUCAAAGGCACCAAGUUUGAUCCCUGACCCUUUAAAGCAAAAUCAUCUUCAAAAGACCUCGACGUGUCAAAAGCACUAACUGAUUUUAGUUCGUAAAGAAUCAGCUAGCCAGACACUACUACUUCUACCGUCCACCAGGGGACCCACUGUCUUGAGAGAGAUACAAAUUAGCUUGAACAACUGGAGAUCAUGUAUGAGGAAAUGAGAGUAGACAUCACAGAAAUAUUGGCCCACAUUGUUAAUAAAAUAUUAUUAAUAAGACAAUGAGCCUACGUGGUAAACAAAGUGGUGAAGUCAUGCCGUCAUAAUCAUCCACUAUAAUGGCAGCGAGCACUUUUGGAACACUUGGCUCACUGUUGAUGGUCCUGGGUGCUUGGAAGGCCCUGGUGGUGGUGGAGAAGCCAGCUGUGAAUUGUCUUAGGGAAGAGAGAGGUGGAGACCAUAAAUUGAACUGGGAUGAUCAGCCCUAGGAAUGGCUGCUCAUUCCUGUAUCCUAAACACCUAGCACGGAACUUUGCAGAGUGGGCACCAGAAGCACUCUUUGAUAAGGGAACCCAGAAGGGCCUGGGUAGAAUGUCUAAAUGUUAAAUGUCGGGAACACGGAAUUUCUGGUGUUUGGUAGUAUAUCUGGGGUUGAGUUUAUUGGGUCUAAUUCGGUUCUUCCUCUAGGAGCUGUUUUCCCAUCACUCACGUGGCAAGUCUUCACUUUGUCCUAGAACCUGGACGAUCCUUGGCAAUCCUGGACGAUCCUUGAGAUGCACCGAUGCGUCCAAUGUCCUCUGGCUCCAGAGUAGGACCCAAGGUUUUCCACCAGGAGCCAAGGCCCCUUUCUUGUACUGGGUAGCAUCGCCCACAUACCAAGGGCUCAGGAGGCCACUGGCUCCUGCCUGGGCCCCCUCCUCUAAGAUCUGAUUCUCUCAUCAUCUGGUUAGUCUCAGCAGCUCACAGCAAAGGGAUGAACCAAGCUGACCUUUCUGGAGGUUUGUUUAAAGCAGAACAAUGUUUGUCUUGUCCAAACACUAUGAAUUACUCCUGAGGAUCCUGCCCGGUUUUACAAUCCACAGCUACAAAUGGCUUACAUAAAUAGGGACUUGUCCCACCCCCUGCCCCCUCUCCACUCCUAACGGUUUUUCUUCCCCCUGUUCACUGUCUCUCAUUCUUUCUGUCCAUCUUUCUGCUACCUCACACCUUCUCCUAGCCUGUGUCUUUCUAGCCCAGUGUGGUAAAGGAUCAGGUGCUAGAUUUUUCUAGGUCAGAGCUCAUACCUGGCUUAUUGCUGGCACACGUCCCACUGUGGCUGGCCGCCCCGUCCCUGCUAUAGACAGGUUUCCCUGGCUAAGGGAACUGUGCUGUCUGUGCAGUGCUGGCAGCGUUCAAGCUGAGGUCCGACUAUGGCAGCAGCCAGCCUAUAGCCCCAUCUAACCGGAUGCUGAGCUCCCUACGUUGCUCUGAUUGGCUGUAAAUUCUUGGGACUUGACUGUAGUUUCUAGAAGUAGGCUCCACUCACUAUGCUACCAGUGUGCUUGUCUGCCUUUGCUGAUCAAAUAAGAGCUCUGGAGAACAAUCAGAGGCUGUGAGCCUGGGAGAGAGGGGUCUUCUGGGAAGAGCCCAGUGUGGGCUGCAUUUCUGUAGUAUGGUCCUUGUGCCACUGACUUCAGUGUUUGGGGAAGCUCAUUUAAAAUGUGGUGUUCUAGGCCAGUGAUAUGGCUCCGUGGAUAAAAACACUUGCCACCACCAACCUUGAUGGCCUAAAUUUGAUUGUCAGGACCCGCGUGUGGAGAGAACUGACUCCCACAAGUUGUCCUCUAACCUCCACAUUCACUAUGGCACGGGUGUUUGGAGUACACCGUAAAAUGAACAAAAAAAUGUAAAAACAUAAAUGUAUAAAAAUGGAGAUAAAUUAAUGCGGUGUUCUGACUCUGUCCUCCCCCCCCUCACCUAGAGACACUUAGCAGUUUCUAGGAGAGUUGGAGUCUAGUACCCAGUUGCAGCAAGGGGUGGGUGGAGCCACCCUGAGAGAAAAUGCAGGGCUGCUAACACUCCAAGGAGGUGUUGGUGAAGACUUGGGAACAUGCCAGGGGUGUGUGCUCUCAGGGUUGGUGGCUGGAGGUGUGAGGACUGUGUGGGAUCCUUCUACCCAGAGCCUCCAGCACUUGGGGCCAAAUGUGAUCUCAUUUUACCCUUGUUUUGCAAACGAGGAAACUGAGCCUCAGAAGGGAGGAGUGACUUCCAGUCAGAAGUUGGUGAGUGGCAUGGAAUUCCAUCUCCUGAGCACACCCUGGCCUUUCCAGAAUAGCCCCUUCCCAGCCUCUCUUUGCAGGUUCAGACCCUGAAGAAGUCAACACCUCAGGGCCAAUCUGCCAAGCCAGGUGGACACCCAAGGAGCCCUGUCCUCAGGAAAAUCGUCCCAAGACCUUCCCUCUGGAUGGAACAAAGCCAGCUCAGCCCACUCUCCUUCUCCAGAGCCCUGCUGUGGGCAUUAGGGCUGCGGCUGGAGCGCAGGAUCCCAUCCCACCAGAAGACAGGGGGCGCCACCAGGGAAAGGCUCCAACAUUCAGACCAGUAGAC